RNAcentral lists this ribosomal RNA (749 nucleotides) under uncultured bacterium. RNAcentral describes it as "bacterial SSU rRNA". It matches the Rfam family "Bacterial small subunit ribosomal RNA", at positions 28 to 772 of the family's 1533-position model. The record is from RNAcentral.
AUUGAACGCUGGCGGCAGGCCUAACACAUGCAAGUCGAGCGGAUGACGGGAGCUUGCUCCUUGAUUCAGCGGCGGACGGGUGAGUAAUGCCUAGGAAUCUGCCUGGUAGUGGGGGACAACGUUUCGAAAGGAACGCUAAUACCGCAUACGUCCUACGGGAGAAAGCAGGGGACCUUCGGGCCUUGCGCUAUCAGAUGAGCCUAGGUCGGAUUAGCUAGUUGGUGGGGUAAUGGCUCACCAAGGCGACGAUCCGUAACUGGUCUGAGAGGAUGAUCAGUCACACUGGAACUGAGACACGGUCCAGACUCCUACGGGAGGCAGCAGUGGGGAAUAUUGGACAAUGGGCGAAAGCCUGAUCCAGCCAUGCCGCGUGUGUGAAGAAGGUCUUCGGAUUGUAAAGCACUUUAAGUUGGGAGGAAGGGCAGUAAGCUAAUACCUUGCUGUUUUGACGUUACCGACAGAAUAAGCACCGGCUAACUCUGUGCCAGCAGCCGCGGUAAUACAGAGGGUGCAAGCGUUAAUCGGAAUUACUGGGCGUAAAGCGUGCGUAGGUGGUUUGUUAAGUUGGAUGUGAAAGCCCCGGGCUCAACCUGGGAACUGCAUCCAAAACUGGCAAGCUAGAGUACGGUAGAGGGUGGUGGAAUUUCCUGUGUAGCGGUGAAAUGCGUAGAUAUAGGAAGGAACACCAGUGGCGAAGGCGACCACCUGGACUGAUACUGACACUGAGGUGCGAAAGCGUGGGGAGCAAA